RNAcentral lists this ribosomal RNA (479 nucleotides) under uncultured bacterium. Its description in RNAcentral is "partial 16S ribosomal RNA". It matches the Rfam family "Bacterial small subunit ribosomal RNA", at positions 28 to 507 of the family's 1533-position model. The record is from RNAcentral.
GAUGAACGCUAGCGGGAGGCCUAACACAUGCAAGCCGAGCGGUAUUGUUUCUUCGGUAAUGAGAGAGCGGCGUACGGGUGCGUAACACGUGUGCAACCUGCCUUUAUCUGGGGGAUAGCCUUUCGAAAGGAAGAUUAAUACUCCAUAAUAUAUUGAACGGCAUCGUUUAAUAUUGAAAGCUCCGGCGGAUAGAGAUGGGCACGCGCAAGAUUAGCUAGUUGGUGAGGUAACGGCUCACCAAGGCGAUGAUCUUUAGGGGGCCUGAGGGGGUGGUCCCCCACACUGGUACUGGGACACGGACCAGACUACUACGGGAGGCAGCAGUGAGGAAGAUUGGUCAAUGGGUGCAAGCCUGAACCAGCCAUCCCGCGUGAAGGACGACUGCCCUAUGGGUUGUAAACUUCUUUUGUAUAGGGAUAAACCUACCCUCGAGAGGGUAGCUGAAGGUACUAUACGAAUAAGCACCGGCUAACUCCGUG